AUACCUAUGAGGAUAUCGAAUAUAGAGAACACCAUCGUUCGGGACUGAAUGGCUUAAUGCCUUGGUGACAUUCUGCAAUUCUGAGGCGU
Molecule: small nucleolar RNA, 89 nt
Organism: Papaver somniferum (opium poppy)
Lineage: Eukaryota; Viridiplantae; Streptophyta; Magnoliopsida; Ranunculales; Papaveraceae
Product: small nucleolar RNA SNORD96 family
Exons: 1
Source: RefSeq, a predicted model, not a curated record